This 253-nucleotide unclassified non-coding RNA is filed under the name uncultured Rhodobacterales bacterium. RNAcentral describes it as "contains 16S-23S intergenic spacer region". It matches the Rfam family "Bacterial small subunit ribosomal RNA", at positions 524 to 776 of the family's 1533-position model. Lineage: Bacteria; Pseudomonadati; Pseudomonadota; Alphaproteobacteria; Rhodobacterales. The record is from RNAcentral.
UAUGGAGGGGACUAGCGUUGUUCGGAAUUACUGGGCGUAAAGCGCGCGUAGGCGGAUUAGUCAGUCAGAGGUGAAAUCCCGGGGCUCAACCCCGGAACUGCCUUUGAUACUGCUAGUCUUGAGUUCGAGAGAGGUGAGUGGAAUUCCGAGUGUAGAGGUGAAAUUCGUAGAUAUUCGGAGGAACACCAGUGGCGAAGGGGGCUCACUGGCUCGAUACGGACGCUGAGUUGCGAAAGCGAGGGGAGCAAACAGG